GACGAACGCUGGCGGUGUGCUUAACACAUGCAAGUCGAACGGAAAGGCCCUGCUUUUGUGGGGUACUCGAGUGGCGACCUGGUGAGUAACACGUUAGUAACCUGCCCUUGACUUUGGGAUUACUACAGGAAACUGGGGCUAAUACCGGAUAGGUGCUCCUGCUGCAUGGUGUGGGGUGGAAAGUUUCGGCGGUUGGGGAUAGACUCGCGGCUUAUCUGCUUGUUGGUGGGGUAGUGGCUUACCAAGGCUUUGACGGGUACCCGGCCUGAGUGGGUGGACGGGCACAAUGGGAAUGGGAUACGGCCCAGACUCCUCAGGGGGGCAGGAGGGGGGAAUAUUGCACAAAGGGCGGAAGCCUGAUGCAGGAACGACGGGGGCGGGAAGGCGGCCUUAGGGUUGUAAAAAGGUUCUUCCUGCGACGAAGCGUGAGUGACGGUAAUGGGUAAAGAAGCACCGGCUAACUACGUG
RNAcentral lists this ribosomal RNA (468 nucleotides) under uncultured bacterium. Its description in RNAcentral is "partial 16S ribosomal RNA". It matches the Rfam family "Bacterial small subunit ribosomal RNA", at positions 28 to 507 of the family's 1533-position model. The record is from RNAcentral.